RNAcentral lists this long non-coding RNA (215 nucleotides) under Mytilus galloprovincialis (Mediterranean mussel). Lineage: Eukaryota; Metazoa; Mollusca; Bivalvia; Mytilida; Mytilidae. The record is from RNAcentral.
CUGAAAAGUGACGUUUUUUGGCAUAUUUGAUAGAUUUUUCAUAUUUAAGCUUGAAUCGGAGCGUUUUCAAUGACUCAGUCAGUUAAAAUCUUUCACAAAAACUAAUCAAAUCAAUUGAAUAAGACAGUUAAGUGUUUAAAAAGUGUACAAAAUCUUUCGUUAGAUGAACCUGAAAUUUGAGGCCAAAAUCGGCUCUUACCGGACCUACUCCUUUG